UGGAAGUAAAGAAAGAUUAUCAGUAUUAAUAUUAUAUAGUGAGGCUGUUUCUAUUGAGUGCAUUAUGCACUGAGUGCAUUAUGUACUGCAUAGGCAAUCAACAUUACUGCACUUCAGGAAGUUAAUCUAAAGUGAUGUAAUCUAGUCUUGUUACUAAAGAUAGCCACAGGCAUGCCAACAGCAACCUAUAAAAGAGAGCAAAAAUUCCAGCUUGGAACUGCAUUUGUAGCCCAUUAUUGACCUGGAGAGGAUGUCUUCCACCCAACCUACAAUAGCAGAGUUUAACCUAGAUGGAGAUGUACAGCGCCGUAGGAAUGGGCCUGCAAACAACAUGGAAGAGAUCCCAUCUCAACCUAACAACCAACAGAAUCCAGGCAAUGAACAAGCAGAGUGGAAAAACGAGCAAAACAGGAAUGGAAACCGAAAAAUGGAUCAGCAACCAAGGGUAGCUGAGACAUCAUCAGGAUGCACUACAUUUGCAAUGGUGGUGUUAGCUCUGUUGCUGGUGGUUGCAGCCAUAACAAUACCUAUCUUUUGGAAAAAUACAAUUUGUGACCACAGAAUUACAGUAGCUAAAGCAGAAGAAAGAUCGAAAUUUGACGAACUGAAGAAUGAGCUAAAGCUACAAGUACGAACACUGGAAAUGCAAACAACAAAAUUGGAAAUAGAAAAGGAGCAAUUUAAAAACGAGAAGAUCACACUAACUGCAAAGAUUGAACAUUUAGAAAGCGACCUCAAGGAAUUGAGACUAGUAAAGACUACAUUAGUUGGUGAGAACACUCAACUCAAGAAUCAAGUCAGUCAAAUUGAUAUCCAAAAAAUGAGCUUCUUAUUGAAAAAAGGGAAGAGAAAAUGAAAUUAAGUGCAAAAGAAAGCGAACGCGAGAAAAUGAGAGAUGAAAAGAUGACAUUGCAACUACAAUUCACUGAAAAGACAACUUUGGUAGACCAUUUGAAGGACAAAAAGGAUCAGUGCGAGCUGGAAAAGAAAGAAUUGGAAAUCAGAAACACCCACCUGAUUGAAGGUAAGAAUGAACUAAACAUUAAGCUUGCUACUACACAGGAGAAACUUGAAGUGGCUGAAGAGAAAGAAAAAAGUUGUGGGCGCAUAAUCGGAACAAAGUGGUUGGAACAGUUAAGUAUUGGACAAGCAAGAGAUGGAAAAACUAUCGAACUUUUGUCGAGUGAGAUUGAACAGCACAAGCACGCAUUGGUUCUAGCCAAGAAUGCAGCACUGGCCAAUGACAAGGAGUGUAAGGGGACUAUCUGUCAAUUAAUCAAGAGUGCAACAGACACAUUUUUUUCGUAAACAAUAAACUGUAAACAUAAUUAAAUUGCUGCUAGUGAUGUAUACAUGCAUGUAUGAUGUAUACAUGCAUGUAUGAUGUUUAAACUAAUACCUGCGAAUUAUUGCAAAACUGACAA
This is a long non-coding RNA of Halichondria panicea, 1424 nucleotides long. RefSeq lists it as uncharacterized. The transcript is spliced from 2 exons. Lineage: Eukaryota; Metazoa; Porifera; Demospongiae; Suberitida; Halichondriidae. The record is from RefSeq and is a predicted model, not a curated record.